RNAcentral lists this transfer RNA (91 nucleotides) under Acinetobacter phage vB_ApiM_fHyAci03. RNAcentral describes it as "tRNA-Ser". It matches the Rfam family "tRNA". From Rfam's summary of the family: Transfer RNA (tRNA) molecules are approximately 80 nucleotides in length. Lineage: Duplodnaviria; Heunggongvirae; Uroviricota; Caudoviricetes; Pantevenvirales; Straboviridae. RNAcentral also lists the same sequence under 1 other name. The record is from RNAcentral.
GGAAGGUCAACCCAACGGCCGGCGAUGGGAACUGUCUUGAAAACAGUCGAGUGUAAAAGCCUUGAGAGUUCGAUCCUCUCACCUUCCGCCA